GCACCCGUAGCUCAGCUGGAUAGAGCACCAGGCUUCGAACCUGGGUGUCAGGGGUUCGAAUCCCUUCGGGUGUACCA
This 77-nucleotide transfer RNA is filed under the name Desulfopila aestuarii DSM 18488. RNAcentral describes it as "tRNA_Arg_TCG". It matches the Rfam family "tRNA". Rfam says of the family: Transfer RNA (tRNA) molecules are approximately 80 nucleotides in length. Their secondary structure includes four short double-helical elements and three loops (D, anti-codon, and T loops). Lineage: Bacteria; Pseudomonadati; Thermodesulfobacteriota; Desulfobulbia; Desulfobulbales; Desulfocapsaceae. RNAcentral also lists the same sequence under 2 other names. The record is from RNAcentral.